UGACUAAGUCAGUGAGCAAGUCUUCUCAGGUCAGAGUUUCACGCCGCGCGUGGACAGUCCCCACGCUGCGCGUGAUCAAAGCUGGUUUUUGGUCUCUCUGUGAUAAGCAUCACGCUGCGCGUGAUGGACCNAGCGUAGUGCAAAACUCUAUUUUUCUGCAUAAUUUCCUGCUUUCUUGUAUUCCAAGUAACCUUGCUUCCGAGUUGAUUUCUCUUGAUUUUAUUGCUUAAAACCCUCUAAAAUGAGUCUAAUGUCCCUCAAAUAAGCAUGGAUUAGAGAGUGUGACGAUCCGUCAUCACAACCCCAAACUUAAACCUUUCUUUGUCCUCAAGGAAACAACUUUUACCUCAAGCUUUUGUGUCAAGACUUUGGCAUUCUCCUUAGAUUCACUCGAAUCAUACAUACGUGAGAAUCACCUGAUGAUCAAUGAUCCACCUGCAAACAAUGCUCAAUUGCACAAUCGUUCCCGCAAGGCAUUUUCAAGUAAUUCACACUUUUCAACCAAGGCUCUAUGAUU
Molecule: long non-coding RNA, 517 nt
Filed under: Trifolium pratense (red clover)
Lineage: Eukaryota; Viridiplantae; Streptophyta; Magnoliopsida; Fabales; Fabaceae
Description: long non-coding RNA (TPRA_LNC005064)
Source: RNAcentral